RNAcentral lists this long non-coding RNA (1468 nucleotides) under Sus scrofa (pig). Its description in RNAcentral is "lncRNA (ENSSSCG00050013234.1)". The record is from RNAcentral. Lineage: Eukaryota; Metazoa; Chordata; Mammalia; Artiodactyla; Suidae.
AUGGGACUCAGGAGACAGGAGGCAGGGGGAGGCCUGGGGGGUGGGGGCGGCCGCCGGGCAUCUGGGCCUCUCCCUCCCCUGGCACCACCGCACCCCGCACCCCUCCCACACACACCCUCGCCGGAAAGUUCCCCAGCCCAGGCCGGGCUCCCAGGCAGCUUGGCACCGUGCCAGGCUCGCCGCCGAGCGCGGGCAGCCGGGUGGGGCGAGCGGCGGCGGCACCGAGGACAUGGCCGGGCGCCCUGGGCGCGAGCAGGACCCAAGGCCGGGAGGCCGGGGCCCAGAAGAAGGCGGCUGGUCCCAGAGCACCUCGGAGAAAGCAGACACCCGUCUUGGCCUUUGGAAGACGCUCAAGGACCACGUGGCCGGGUCCACGGUCUCUGCCCUGCGCCUCGAGGGCGAGGCAGCCCAGGUCUUGCCCUUCUUGCCGGCCACUUCGCCCCCAUCCGACGCCUGGAGCUUGAGGUGACUGAGCGCUCUCAGGCCAGCUCGGCCCUGGACCUGCUCGGCUCUGGACCUGCCCAUCUCCGUCAACGCACGAGGCCCCCGUGCCCCAGGUGCGUGAGUAGCCUUUCCCCUGACUCAGGGGCCCCGCUGCUGGCCGCCACCAGCACCAGUGCAUGGCGCUGCCCCAGCCGGUCUGCCCGUCUUUAGAGCGGGACUGGUUUCCAUCCUGGAUUUUCUCCGCGAAGGCUGGGAGGGGUGGCCGGUGGCUGGACCCAGCGCCCCAGGGGGUGCUGCUGGUCUCUGCCUGGCCUCUGAGCUUCUGCUGGGGCACCGGAACCUGGACCUUCCGUCCAGAGGAGGUGGGGACAUGACCCAGGCAGGCAGGACAGGAGCCCUGAGGCUGGAGAAGUGGCUGGUGCUGGUGUGGCUGACCUGGCGCCGUCAGGCAAGGGCCUCGGUUGCAGCCACGUGUCCUGGAGUGGGGCUCCCCCCUGCUCCGUGUCCCUUGCUGCCUGCCCUGUCCCCUCACCCGGGGCAGGAAGGAGGGGCCGGCCUGGACCACGGGGUCAGCUGGGCUGGCUGUUCCCGCAUCCCUGGUCUGAGGAGCCCCGAAGCCCCGCCGCCUCCUUCAAGAUGGGAGGGCAUCAGGGCUGCGGCUCUGGGACAACAGGAGGAAGGUUCUGGAGAGGACGCUGCCCACGUCCCUGGCCCAGGCCUCCAGGCCCUGGUGCCGUGGUGGGCGUGCUUCCGAAGCCGGCGUCACCCUCCUCCUUCCUGAUCCUCCUGCUGCUGCUGCUGCUGCUCCCGGCCCUCCCGCCUCCGGCCUCCGGCCUCCAUCCUCCCCGCCUCCGUCCUCCCCGCCCUCCGGCCCCCAUCCGCCCUGCCCUCCUCGUCCGCCCUCUGUGGCCUCCCCUCGGCCCGUCUUGGUCCUCCCGCCCCCGUCCUCCCGGCUCUCCUCGUCCGCCCUCCUCGUCCUCCCGUCCUCCCGCCCCCACCCUCCCCGUUCUUCCGCCCCCAUCCU